GACGAACCGAGCGAACGUUGUUCGGAAUCACUGGGCUUAAAGGGCGCGUAGGCGGGUGGCUAAGUCUGUGGUGAAAUCCUCCAGCUCAACUGGAGAACUGCCAUGGAUACUGGUUGUCUCGAGGAACGUAGGGGUAUGCGGAACUAUCGGUGGAGCGGUGAAAUGCGUUGAUAUCGAUAGGAACUCCGGUGGCGAAGGCGGCAUACUGGACGUUUUCUGACGCUGAGGCGCGAAAGCCAGGGGAGCAAACGGG
This 253-nucleotide ribosomal RNA is filed under the name uncultured bacterium. Its description in RNAcentral is "partial 16S ribosomal RNA". It matches the Rfam family "Bacterial small subunit ribosomal RNA", at positions 524 to 776 of the family's 1533-position model. The record is from RNAcentral.